UCGAGCGGAGUUUUGAAAGCUUGCUUUUCAAACUUAGCGGCGGACCGGUGAGUAACACGUGGGCAACCUGCCCUUGAGACGGGGAUAACUCCGGGAAACCGGAGCUAAUACCGGAUAACACAUAUCUUCGCAUGAGGAUAUGUUAGAAGGUGGCUUUUAGCUACCACUCAAGGAUGGGCCCGCGGCGCAUUAGCUAGUUGGUGAGGUAACGGCUCACCAAGGCGACGAUGCGUAGCCGACCUGAGAGGGUGAUCGGCCACACUGGGACUGAGACACGGCCCAGACUCCUACGGGAGGCAGCAGUAGGGAAUCUUCCGCAAUGGACGAAAGUCUGACGGAGCAACGCCGCGUGAGUGAUGAAGGUUUUCGGAUCGUAAAGCUCUGUUGUUAGGGAAGAACAAGUACCUGUUAAAUAAGCAGGUACCUUGACGGUACCUAACCAGAAAGCCACGGCUAACUACGUGCCAGCAGCCGCGGUAAUACGUAGGUGGCAAGCGUUGUCCGGAAUUAUUGGGCGUAAAGCGCGCGCAGGCGGUUCCUUAAGUCUGAUGUGAAAGCCCACGGCUCAACCGUGGAGGGUCAUUGGAAACUGGGGAACUUGAGUGCAGAAGAGGAGAGCGGAAUUCCACGUGUAGCGGU
This 639-nucleotide ribosomal RNA is filed under the name Bacillus sp. PSu3_32. RNAcentral describes it as "bacterial SSU rRNA". It matches the Rfam family "Bacterial small subunit ribosomal RNA", at positions 62 to 682 of the family's 1533-position model. The record is from RNAcentral. Lineage: Bacteria; Bacillati; Bacillota; Bacilli; Caryophanales; Bacillaceae.